UUGUUUUCUUAAACAAAUUUUUUUAGAAUUUUAUUUUUAAGUUAAAAAAGCUUAAAUUUAAUCAGGGACGAGAAGACCCUAUAGAGUUUAAUAAAUUUUAUAUAUAAUAAAAUUUAGAAUUUAAUAAUUAUGUAAUAAUUUAUUUAGUUGGGGUGACUAAGUAAUAUAAUUAACUUAUUUUUUUUUAUAUCAAUAAUUAUUGUUUUUUUGAUCCAUAAAUAUGAUUAUAAGAUAAAAUUACCUUAGGGAUAACAGCGUUAUUUUUUUUAGAGUUCUUAUCAAAAAAAAAGAUUGCGACCUCGAUGUUGGAUUAGGAUAAAUGUUAGGUGUAGUCGCUUAAUAAUUAAGUCUGUUCGACUUUUAAAAUCCUACA
Molecule: ribosomal RNA, 373 nt
Filed under: Microrhopala vittata
Lineage: Eukaryota; Metazoa; Arthropoda; Insecta; Coleoptera; Chrysomelidae
Description: partial 16S ribosomal RNA
Source: RNAcentral